Perca flavescens (yellow perch) is the source of this 471-nucleotide non-coding RNA. NCBI's taxonomy places the organism in Eukaryota, Metazoa, Chordata, Actinopteri, Perciformes, Percidae. The record is from the annotation of a RefSeq genome assembly.
AGCCACACAAUAUAUGACACUCCCACCUGCAACUCUUUAUCUCUGUGACUACACUGACAGUUUUCUGACUUUCUGAACAUGGACAACAUCAAACACGCUCUCAUCAGCUUGGUACUAUUUCUGCUCUGCAUAAAAGGUCUUAUUGAUGGGAGUGAUGUCACCCAGACUGACAUACUGUGGAAAAAACAGGGGGAGAACGCAACGAUGAAUUGCAACCACACCAAGGGUUCUGGCUACUUCCAGAUGUACUGGUACAGACAGCUACCAGGAGAAACAAUGAAACUAAUUGUGUUCACAAGACUCGGCAACAACGAUCAUGAUUUUGGAGAUUUCACUAAAGAGAAAUUCUCAGCCACCAAGCCUGAUGCUAUGAGUGGGACAUUCACAGUGAAGAAUCUGGAGCCAGAAGAUAAAGGCUUGUAUUUCUGUGCUGCGAGUCAACACAGUGAUAGAGACACAUUCAACAGAUGA